RNAcentral lists this ribosomal RNA (352 nucleotides) under uncultured Thiobacillus sp. Its description in RNAcentral is "bacterial SSU rRNA". It matches the Rfam family "Bacterial small subunit ribosomal RNA", at positions 1024 to 1382 of the family's 1533-position model. The record is from RNAcentral. Lineage: Bacteria; Pseudomonadati; Pseudomonadota; Betaproteobacteria; Nitrosomonadales; Thiobacillaceae.
AAUCGGUACGACAGGUGCUGCAUGGCUGUCGUCAGCUCGUGUCGUGAGAUGUUGGGUUAAGUCCCGCAACGAGCGCAACCCUUAUCAUUAGUUGCUACGCAAGGGCACUCUAAUGAGACUGCCGGUGACAAACCGGAGGAAGUGGGGAUGACGUCAAGUCCUCAUGGCCCUUAUGGGUAGGGCUUCACACGUCACACAAUGGUCGGUACAGAGGGUUGCCAAGCCGCGAGGCGGAGCCAAUCCCACAAAGCCGAUCGUAGUCCGGAUUGUUCUCUGCAACUCGAGAGCAUGAAGUCGGAAUCGCUAGUAAUCGCGGAUCAGCCAUGCCGCGGUGAAUACGUUCCCGGGCCUU